GACGAACGCUGGCAGCGUGCUUAACACAUGCAAGUCGAACGGAAGGCCCUGCUUUUGUGGGGUGCUCGAGUGGCGAACGGGUGAGUAACACGUGAGUAACCUGCCCUUGACUUUGGGAUAACUUCAGGAAACUGGGGCUAAUACCGGAUAGGAGCUCCUGCUGCAUGGUGGGGGUUGGAAAGUUUCGGCGGUUGGGGAUGGACUCGCGGCUUAUCAGCUUGUUGGUGGGGUAGUGGCUUACCAAGGCUUUGACGGGUAGCCGGCCUGAGAGGGUGACCGGCCACAUUGGGACUGAGAUACGGCCCAGACUCCUACGGGAGGCAGCAGUGGGGAAUAUUGCACAAUGGGCGGAAGCCUGAUGCAGCAACGCCGCGUGCGGGAUGACGGCCUUCGGGUUGUAAACCGCUUUCGCCUGUGACGAAGCGUGAGUGACGGUAAUGGGUAAAGAAGCACCGGCUAACUACGUG
Molecule: ribosomal RNA, 467 nt
Filed under: uncultured bacterium
Lineage: Bacteria
Description: partial 16S ribosomal RNA
Rfam family: Bacterial small subunit ribosomal RNA
Source: RNAcentral